Molecule: unclassified non-coding RNA, 457 nt
Filed under: Hevea brasiliensis (rubber tree)
Lineage: Eukaryota; Viridiplantae; Streptophyta; Magnoliopsida; Malpighiales; Euphorbiaceae
Source: RNAcentral
CAAGUGUUUGUAUAGCUGAUAAAAUUUCCAUGGGGCUAUCGUCAUUCUGCAGCUUCUCAAUCUUCAUCCUGUUUCUAAUCCUCCAGUCAUCAGACUGCCAACAAGAAUAUAUCAGUACUCUGUCGCUCGACUGCAGUAAAAAUUCUUCUAUAUCAAAAGGGUAUGUUUGCAAUGGAAAUCAAAUUCCAUGCCAGUCCUUUUUAACCUUGCUCUCCCGCCCUCCCUAUGACUCCCCCAUCACCAUUUCUAAUCUUUUAGGUUCGGAAGCCUCGAGUAUAGCCUUGAUCAACAACGUAUCAUCCAUAUUCACAUUUCCCUCAGAGAAAUCGACCAUAGUUCCUGUUUCUUGUUCAUGUACUCAGGGCUUCUACCAGCAUAAUACUUCUUAUUUUAUUCAAGAUCAAAGCGAGACAUUUUUCACAGUAGCCAAUAAUACUUAUCAAGGCCUUACUACUUG